CAAGGAGAACGUUUUCUUCGGAAAAUUAUUAAACUGGCGAACGGGUGAGUAACACGUAGGUAACCUGCCGUAAAGAUUGGGAUAACCCCGGGAAACCGGAGCUAAUACCGAAUAAGGCAUUAAAUUCGCAUGAAUUUUAUGUUAAAGUGGGCUUCGGCUCACACUUUAUGAUGGGCCUGCGUCCGAUUAGCUUGUUGGUAAGGUAAUGGCUUACCAAGGCAAUGAUCGGUAGCUGGUCUGAGAGGAUGAUCAGCCACACUGGGAUUGAGAUACGGCCCAGACUCCUACGGGAGGCAGCAGUAAGGAAUUUUGCACAAUGGACGAAAGUCUGAUGCAGCAACGCCGCGUGAUCGAUGAAGCUUCUAGGAGUGUAAAGAUCUGUCGUGAGGGAAGAAAAAUUUAGAUGUAAAUAAUAUUUAAACUUGACGGUACCUUACAAGAAAGCACCGGCUAACUUCGUGCCAGCAGCCGCGGUAAUACGAGGGGUGCUAGCGUUGUCCGGAAUAACUGGGCGUAAAGGGUCCGUAGGCGUUUUGCUAAGUUGAUCGUUAAAUCCAUCGGCUUAACCGAUGAUAUGCGAUCAAAACUGGCAGAAUAGAAUAUGUGAGGGGAAUGUGGAAUUCCUGGUGUAGCGGUGACAUGCGUAGAUAUCAGGAGGAACACCGAUGGCGAAGGCAGCAUUCUGGCACAAUAUUGACGCUGAGGGACGAAAGCGUGGGGAGCGAACAGGAUUAGAUACCCUGGUAGUCCACGCCGUAAACGAUGAGUACUUGGUGGUGGAGGAUUCGACCCCUUCACUAUCGGAGCUAACGCGU
This 815-nucleotide ribosomal RNA is filed under the name uncultured Fidelibacterota bacterium. RNAcentral's name for it is "SSU rRNA". It matches the Rfam family "Bacterial small subunit ribosomal RNA", at positions 63 to 860 of the family's 1533-position model. The record is from RNAcentral. Lineage: Bacteria; Pseudomonadati; Fidelibacterota.